GCAAAGAAAAUAUUGAAGAUGUCU
RNAcentral lists this non-coding RNA (24 nucleotides) under Arabidopsis thaliana (thale cress). Lineage: Eukaryota; Viridiplantae; Streptophyta; Magnoliopsida; Brassicales; Brassicaceae. The record is from RNAcentral.